Molecule: ribosomal RNA, 497 nt
Filed under: uncultured bacterium
Lineage: Bacteria
Description: partial 16S ribosomal RNA
Rfam family: Bacterial small subunit ribosomal RNA
Source: RNAcentral
GUUGAACGCUGGCGGCGUGCCUAAUACAUGCAAGUCGAGCGAACAGACGAGGAGCUUGCUCCUCUGCCGUUAGCGGCGGACGGGUGAGUAACACGUGGAUAACCUACCUAUAAGACUGGGAUAACUUCGGGAAACCGGAGCUAAUACCGGAUAAUAUAUUGAACCGCAUGGUUCAAUAGUGAACGACGGUUUUGCUGUCACUUAUAGAUGGAUCCGCGCCGCAUUAGCUAGUUGGUAAGGUAACGGCUUACCAAGGCGACGAUGCGUAGCCGACCUGAGAGGGUGAUCGGCCACACUGGAACUGAGACACGGUCCAGACUCCUACGGGAGGCAGCAGUAGGGAAUCUUCCGCAAUGGGCGAAAGCCUGACGGAGCAACGCCGCGUGAGUGAUGAAGGUCUUCGGAUCGUAAAACUCUGUUAUUAGGGAAGAACAAAUGUGUAAGUAACUAUGCACGUCUUGACGGUACCUAAUCAGAAAGCCACGGCUAACUACGUG